CAGGAAAUAGUUUAUAAAAAAUAUUAAUUUUGGAGAUUAAUGAUAGAGAAUCCCUUUUUUCCUGA
RNAcentral lists this transfer RNA (65 nucleotides) under Anthonomus rectirostris. Its description in RNAcentral is "tRNA-Pro". The record is from RNAcentral. Lineage: Eukaryota; Metazoa; Arthropoda; Insecta; Coleoptera; Curculionidae.